CAGCCGCCACGGUAAUACGUAGGUGGCGAGCGUUGUCCGGAAUCAUUGGGCGUAAAGGGAGCGCAGGCGGGCAUGUAAGUCUUUCUUAAAAGUUCGGGGCUCAACCCCGUGAUGGGAAAGAAACUACAUGUCUUGAGUACAGGAGAGGAAAGCGGAAUUCCCAGUGUAGCGGUGAAAUGCGUAGAUAUUGGGAGGAACACCAGUGGCGAAGGCGGCUUUCUGGACUGCAACUGACGCUGAGGCUCGAAAGCCAGGGGAGCGAACGGGAUUAGAUACCCGUGUAGUCCCUGUCUCUUAUACA
RNAcentral lists this ribosomal RNA (301 nucleotides) under uncultured bacterium. RNAcentral's name for it is "partial 16S ribosomal RNA". It matches the Rfam family "Bacterial small subunit ribosomal RNA", at positions 509 to 809 of the family's 1533-position model. The record is from RNAcentral.